AAUAGACUCACAGUUCCACAUGGCUGUGGAGGCCUCACAAUCAUGGUGGAAGGGAAGGGAGGAGCAAAGCCAUGACUUACUUGGUGGCAGGCGAGAGAUUGUGUGCAGGAGAACUCUCCUUUAUGAAACCAUCAGAUCUCAUGAGACUUAUUUAAUAUCACAAGAAUAGCAUGGGAAA
Molecule: long non-coding RNA, 178 nt
Organism: Sapajus apella (tufted capuchin)
Lineage: Eukaryota; Metazoa; Chordata; Mammalia; Primates; Cebidae
Exons: 2
Source: RefSeq, a predicted model, not a curated record